RNAcentral lists this transfer RNA (73 nucleotides) under Mus musculus (house mouse). Its description in RNAcentral is "tRNA-Ala". The record is from RNAcentral. Lineage: Eukaryota; Metazoa; Chordata; Mammalia; Rodentia; Muridae.
AGUGAUGUAGUUCAGUGGCUAGAGUGUUUGCCUAGCACUCACAAAGCCCUGGGUUCAAUUCCGACCUCCGCAU